CGGGAACUCCAGGCACACACCCAAGGGCAGCGUUGAGGGUGCAUAGCGAAGGCAUGAACCUGUCACGAGGAAGACGGAGGGCACGCAGGGCACCAGACAGUGGUACAUGAAACACUGGUGCAUCCUACAGGAACAUACGAGACUCAGUAUGUGACAGGUACACCCUCCCCUCACAGUUCCUCCAUAUCCGGUGCCUGAGAAGACAAGGGGCUUGGCAAUCUAUUUGCGCAUGGAAUGGUGUUUUCGAGUAACAGGUGGAAACUGAGGGUUAGAGCGAUAACCAAGGAUCUACAAAGAGAAGAGAGUCUAGACAACCCGGAUUACAGAACAGAGCUUUCCAGUCAAGGUACACAGGAAUGCAUAUCUUUCCUCUGUCCGAAAAGGACUGAAGGCACCUUGCAAACAGGAUGGAAGAAAACAAGCAAACAAACAUCAUAUGAAAGAUUCAGUACGUGGGAAACAAAGCAGGCAAAGAAAGCAGCGGAUCCGGUGCCUAAAUUAAACCCAAACUUUGAGCUUUGUGGCCUCGGGGGGAUCAGGAAGCAUACACUGCAGGGCCUGUCGCUGGAGAGGUGGGAGCACCCCGCCGCUCUGAGAGGGGAGGACCGAUCUCCUUAUGCCCUGUGCCUGGCCAGCCAGACUCAGACACCUCGUUGGACAGCCUUAUCACCACCGUUUCACGACAAAGUGCAUCAAUAGCUUUCAUUUACAUACAGCUUGAGGCAACUUUUAAAAAAAAAUCAGAUGUAAAAUUGAGCAGGUGCAAUUCAUGGACCGCAGAGAUUCUGUGAACAGCAGAACCAGCACACCCGCCGCGCUCCAGGCCCAGGACAAACUUCCGAGAAUUCAAGGAUGAACAGCCUUGAGUUUCUCUCCUUAGGGAGCUGAGGACCUAGCAGCGGGGGCAGGUAAGCUCACACCAAACAGGUAUAUACGUGGCUCCUCUCAAAUCCCUGCUGGUUGAGACCCAAGAUUCAUGUUUGGUUUCCAGUUACAGGUCGAUGCUGGUUUCUUGGGCUUAUUUUGCCUUUCCUUCUCUGGCCCCACCUGUCACCCCUCCAGAGUCAGAGUGUUGUGCGGAGGCCCUAGCUGCUUUGGGGGCCCAGGACAGCUCCCAGUGGGAGGCAGUUGGUGCGUGCAGGGCAGACAUGACUCCUGGACCGGCUUCCUGUUUUCAGCGGGGUGUGGCAAUGCCAAAAGGACAGCCUCACUUUCUGGCUGGAAUUCUGGCAUUUCUCUGAAUUUGCAGAGGAAGCAUUGGGAUUUCAGAAGCAAAGCCUCAAGCUGUCAACCAGAUAUUUAAAAAGUUGGCCAUCGUUGUAACGAUGUUCUCAUGUUCUCAUGAUGCAGGGGGCCAGGGGGAGCCCCGGCCUGCUUAAGAUUCCACCGCUUCCUAUGGAGAAAGGUCUGGUGGUCAGGUCCAGAGAGGGAAGCCCGCCUUCUCUGGAAGGUGUGAUGCCCCUUUCUCUCCAGUUCUACCCACUUCCAGUACACUUCCCCAGACUGUCACUAAAUGGUUGACACACCUGUUUGCCUCUAUGGCAAUUAUGGCUUUCUCUUCAUUUAUUCUGCCUUCAUCAUUCUUUCAUCCACCCAUUUAAUAAAUACCCGGAGGGCCUUCCAGGGGCCAGGCAAACGUGGUAAUCAGCAGACACAUAAUGGUACGGCCGGCCGGUCAGUCCAAGAGCCCCUACCGGAGUUUGCGGGGUGCCCUGCUCCUGUUCAGCUACAGGGGCUGUCAGUGUGGUCUCAGUGCAACCCAGAACCCCCAUAGCUCAUCACGUAGCACGGAGCAAUCCCCAGGAACUCCUCCCCAACAUCCACCACUAGGUCCUUGACACAGAAAGCGGCUAAAUGCACGAAGGUUAGUGUUGAGCCGCCAGCAUGGAAGGUAGAGGUUGCUUCUCAAGAGCGGAGGGGAUUUGAGGCAGAAAGACUGAGGUAGAAGAAAAGACAAAUUAAUUAGCUUGUCAAAUCCUUCUCAGAAAGCACAAAUGCAACAGGCUGUUGCAUAAUGAAGUAUCAUUCCCCAGGAAUGGGGAGUUUCCAUACCUUGCUUCUCUUCAUGUACCGAUUUUUGUUUCAAAGGUACUUGUGAAUUAGUGCAGAUAUCACAAUGGUUGGAUAAGAUGUAAGAGGAACAUUCUGCGACAUUAAAUAAGUCAAGUUACUCUUAAGUUUGUAUAUAUGUGGGCCUACAUGUUACAAGAUUGGGACAGGAUGCUCAUUUUUUUACACGGGAACUCAAUGGAUACUGAACACAAAGUAGCAAAUUAUUUUAAUAAAAGGAGUUAAUAAGAGUUUUAUGAUAUUUCCAAAAGCACUUUUCAACUUGCUUGAAUAUUCGGAUGCAUUCUCUUGCCACUCAUUAAUUUAUGGUUUUUAUUUUGCAUGAUUAUUGUGAGGAAAAUUCCUGGGUACAUAACCCUGAAGUGAAUUUCUAAGGAGACCAUUCUGACCAUGAAUGACAUUUUUCUAUUUUUGGUUUUAUUAAAAAUUUCCCCGCAGUGAAAAAUUUGGAAGAACUAAAGAAAUACUGUGGUAGAUCCAGCUACAAGUGAAAAUUCAAGUGAAAAUUUGUUGUAAAUAACAGUAAUUUACAUGAUAACAUAUUUUUAUAUUUUCUGCUGUAAUAAUGAUUCCCAUAUAACCACAUUAUAUUGUUCAAAUGUGAUUUGCAGAACUCAUGGUUUAUUUUCAAAUCUAUGCAUUGCCUUAAGAAUUUUAUUUAUAAUUUCAGUUUCUAUUGCUUCAGCUGUGUGGUAUCUUUCCAAAUUAAAAUAACAAAAACUGCCUACAGAAAUCUUAAAACUAUGAUGACCCAAGAAAGAUCGCUUAACAAGCCAUUAUCAAUAGAACACAAACAAUGUGGAAAAACAUCUUCAUGAUAGCACCCAAAUUAGUGAUUCAAAUA
Molecule: long non-coding RNA, 2914 nt
Organism: Zalophus californianus (California sea lion)
Lineage: Eukaryota; Metazoa; Chordata; Mammalia; Carnivora; Otariidae
Exons: 4
Source: RefSeq, a predicted model, not a curated record